RNAcentral lists this ribosomal RNA (372 nucleotides) under Triticum aestivum (bread wheat). RNAcentral's name for it is "partial small subunit ribosomal RNA". The record is from RNAcentral. Lineage: Eukaryota; Viridiplantae; Streptophyta; Magnoliopsida; Poales; Poaceae.
AUGAGGGUGGCAUGUAAUCCGGCUCAGGUUGUCGUACGGAGAAGAAUUAAUCCAAAUCUAUUCUUGGUACAAUUUCACUGCUUGGACUUCAAGGGAUUUGUUCUUCUGCUGGCUGAUUAUGAUGGUUUUACAAACCCAGAGAAGGUCAAGUUGGAUCGGCUGGAGACAUGGUGCCAGAUUCACAAGCUUACGGAUGUGGUGCUAAAGAAUAAGCCUUUUCUCGAAAACAUGGUUAAGCGUAUAGGGAAAGUGCAAGAGGUAAAGAUUACUCUCCCCAAUGGAUAUUUGGGUGAGUUCAUUUGGAUCAGAGCGAGACUUGAUGUAAAUAAGAAAUUUGCGCGUUUUGUCAGUUUCGAUUUGCUUGCUAACUAA